GAUGAACGCUGGCGGCGUGCUUAACACAUGCAAGUCGAACGGAAAGGCCCAAGCUUGCUUGGGUACUCGAGUGGCGAACGGGUGAGUAACACGUGGGUGAUCUGCCCUGCACUUCGGGAUAAGCCUGGGAAACUGGGUCUAAUACCGGAUAGGACCACUUCUUGGAUGUUGUGGUGGAAAGUUUUUUCGGUGUGGGAUGAGCUCGCGGCCUAUCAGCUUGUUGGUGGGGUAAUGGCCUACCAAGGCGUCGACGGGUAGCCGGCCUGAGAGGGUGUACGGCCACAUUGGGACUGAGAUACGGCCCAGACUCCUACGGGAGGCAGCAGGGGGGAAUAUUGCACAAUGGGCGCAAGCCUGAUGCAGCGACGCCGCGUGGGGGAGGACGGCCUUCGGGUUGGAAACUCCUUUCGCUAGGGACGAAGCGUUUUGUGACGGUACCUGGAGAAGAAGCACCGGCUAACUACGUG
RNAcentral lists this ribosomal RNA (467 nucleotides) under uncultured bacterium. Its description in RNAcentral is "partial 16S ribosomal RNA". It matches the Rfam family "Bacterial small subunit ribosomal RNA", at positions 28 to 507 of the family's 1533-position model. The record is from RNAcentral.